UUUGAUGGCGACCGGCGCACGGGUGAGUAACACGUAUCCAACCUGCCGAUGACUCGGGGAUAGCCUUUCGAAAGAAAGAUUAAUACCCGAUGGCAUAGUUCUUCCGCAUGGUAGAACUAUUAAAGAAUUUCGGUCAUCGAUGGGGAUGCGUUCCAUUAGGUUGUUGGCGGGGUAACGGCCCACCAAGCCUUCAAUGGAUAGGGGUUCUGAGAGGAAGGUCCCCCACAUUGGAACUGAGACACGGUCCAA
RNAcentral lists this ribosomal RNA (249 nucleotides) under uncultured bacterium. RNAcentral's name for it is "partial 16S ribosomal RNA". It matches the Rfam family "Bacterial small subunit ribosomal RNA", at positions 84 to 334 of the family's 1533-position model. The record is from RNAcentral.